AUUGAACGCUGGCGGCAUGCCUUACACAUGCAAGUCGAACGGCAGCACGGGUGCUUGCACCUGGUGGCGAGUGGCGAACGGGUGAGUAAUACAUCGGAACGUACCUUAUCGUGGGGGAUAACGCAGCGAAAGCUGUGCUAAUACCGCAUACGCCCUGAGGGGGAAAGCGGGGGAUCGAAAGACCUCGCGCGAUUAGAGCGGCCGAUGCCUGAUGAGCUUGUUGGGGGGGUAAAACCCCAGCAAGGCGACGAUCAGUGGCUGGUCUGAGAGGACGAUCAGCCACACUGGGACUGAGACACGGCCCAGACUCCUACGGGAGGCAGCAGUGGGGAAUUUUGGACAAUGGGGGCAACCCUGAUCCAGCAAUGCCGCGUGAGUGAAGAAGGCCUUCGGGUUGUAAAGCUCUUUUGUCAGGGAAGAAACACCGGCUCUAACACAGUCCGGGAAUGACGGUACCUGAAGAAUAAGCACCGGCUAACUACGUGCCAGCCGCCGCCGUAA
Molecule: ribosomal RNA, 501 nt
Filed under: uncultured bacterium
Lineage: Bacteria
Description: partial 16S ribosomal RNA
Rfam family: Bacterial small subunit ribosomal RNA
Source: RNAcentral